AGUGAACGCUGGCGGUAGGCCUAACACAUGCAAGUCGAACGGCAGCACAGUAAGAGCUUGCUCUUACGGGUGGCGAGUGGCGGAUGGGUGAGGAAUACAUCGGAAUCUACUUUUUCGUGGGGGAUAACGUAGGGAAACUUACGCUAAUACCGCAUACGACCUACGGGAGAAAGCAGGGGAUCUUCGGACCUUGCGCGAUUGAAUGAGCCGAUGUCGGAUUAGCUAGUUGGCGGGGUAAAGGCCCACCAAGGCAACGAUCCGUAGCUGAUCUGAGAGGAUGAUCAGCCACACUGGAACUGAGACACGGUCCAGACUCCUACGGGAGGCAGCAGUGGGGAAUAUUGGACAAUGGGCGCAAGCCUGAUCCAGCCAUACCGCGUGAGUGAAGAAGGCCUUCGGGUUGUAAAGCCCUUUUGUUAGGAAAGAAAAGCAGCAGAUUAAUACCCCGCUGUUCUGACGGUACCCAAAGAAUAAGCACCGGCUAACUUCGUG
RNAcentral lists this ribosomal RNA (492 nucleotides) under uncultured bacterium. Its description in RNAcentral is "partial 16S ribosomal RNA". It matches the Rfam family "Bacterial small subunit ribosomal RNA", at positions 29 to 507 of the family's 1533-position model. The record is from RNAcentral.